AGGGGUCGGGUCUGAGUGCAGCCUCGGUGGGGCGUUCCCGUCGCACAUGACUGGAACGCCCACGUAGAUCAUUGGUUUACGUAGAACGGGAACGCCCAGUAUGUUCUCAAGUCUUUUCUGCCUCCUCCUUCCUGUCUCUAACUGCAAACCAUCACUGCUGGUGACUCUGUGGCGACUCAGCAAUGUCCUGCUGUCCAUCUACUCUACUCUCCUCUAUCAAAGCAGCAGACAGUGAGUCUGUCCUAUUCCUUGUAUCCAUUCUAUCUUAAUUAUGGCUCCUCUGGUUUUCCUGUCCCAUCUACAACUCUGUCUUUAAUUUUGGAUAUUCUACCUUUCUAUCCCUCUAAUUCUAUCGCACUCUGAUCAGGUUUUUAGACGUUUUUGGAAGAAAACUUUGCUGAGUGUAAACAAGUGUAAAAGUAAUACCACUGCCUACAUUGUAUUAAUUCUCCCUGAUUCACAUAUAAUUGUACCUAAUCUAUAACCAUUCACAUAGUUUGAAUCAAUAAGUGUAUAUAAGUGCUUUGUUGUUGUUUAAACCUUUAUAUACUGUAAUAAAUCAACCAUCAGCUGUAAGGAGAAACUUUUAAAAAAAAACAGUUAAAAAAAAACUGAAUUCAGGUUGCUGUCACUGACAUUCAAGUCAUAUGUAUUACAAACACUAAAAUAUACAAAUACCAUCGUGUUCAGUUAAGUACAACAUUUGAGCAUCAGUAAAGAUCUGAUAGUGCUUUAAAAUACUAAACAAACAGCCUUCCUGUCCGUCCCAUAUCUGAGAUUGGACUGUUGGUUUUCUAUUUGCUGAAAAUAUUGAAACAGUUGUUGACUCUUGUGCAUUUAAAUCUAUAAGUAGGAGAAGCAUUGAAAUAGUAUAUACAUAUAUAUAUAAUAUUCAUCCUUUCUGGUGUACCUUAAACUUUUGUUGUACCAUAGAUAUCUAUAAUAUCUUCACAGGCUUGACAAAAAUAUAUUGAAUAGUUUUGAAACAUGUAAAUGUGAACUCUUUUCUGUGUUAAUUUACCAUUCCUAAGUGCUUUUGAUUACUAAAAGCAUCUAUCCUGCUAUGUUAACACUACUCUUUUAUCAUUAAUUUUGUGUUUAAUAUAUUGGUUGUGUACAAUAAAACAUUACAUUUUUGGUUUUGGAGCACAACAACAAUGCCAAGGAAGGAGGUCAACGUGAUUCAUCAUGUGUACCACAGGUAUCAUAUACUGACAUUGUAAAGAGAGGACUUCACAUUGAUGAUGAUCUUUAAGAUUACAAUAAUUAUCAAGUUUUGAAAAUGAAAAAAAUAUUAAUUAUAUAAUUUAUUCUUUCUUCUUAUCUUUUGCACAGAAAUACAUCUGCAGAAAAGUUGUUUCAGUGGAAAAUGGCCACUAGAUGGCCAAAAAAAAAGUCAUUUUUUAAGAUUAGAGAAGUAGAAAAGGUGGGCGUUCUUGUACCACAAGAGCCAAUCAAAGCAGUGGGCGUUCCCGUGCGCUACAAGAACGCCCUGCCGUGGCUGCAGGAAACUAAACUGUAGGAUUUAUGAUUAAAGUCUGGUGACUUAGCAGAAAACACUGCUCUUCAAUCACUGCUAAUUAAAGUUUUCUAGCUUCCGGGUUUACUUCCAGGGUAUGCAUGGCUUAUUUCUCACAUAAAUGUUUUCAGAAACACAUUGCGGUGAACUGAAGUCAGGAUUUACAAGGUUAGAGUUACAUCUGCUGCAUGUUCAGGAUCCAUUUGCCUCCAUCAGAACAUCGAGCAUUUCUGUUUCCCUUGGCAGUCGAUGCUUUACAGACCUAAAACAUCGAUAGUAAACGCUGCUGAUCACAGUACUGUGCAGAUUUACUGACAAGACAUUAAAACAUAAUGGCAUCCAUUUCCCUGCCCCCCAAGCCAGACCUCUUAUCUUUUUCACCUCUCUCAUUCCCAUAUCCCAGCAGGAUGCGAGUAUGAGAGAGGGGGGACCAGCAUCUGAUAAGAUGCAUUAGUCAGACUGACAGGACUUUCCCUGGAAGACCCCCAUUCUAUUAGAGCAUUCCUUAAUUCCAGACCUCAGCCAUAACUGUUUGGUGUCAUAUAUUAAUACAUAUUACAAUGGUAUUGAGAAAAACUACUUUUUACACCUGGUUAGAUAUACAACAUAUGCUCACAUUUAAUCAAAGGAACAUCUACUAAUAGAAACGUAUCCCUGGGGUUAAUCCUGAGUAUAUCUCAGUCAAGUUUAAGGAUUCAGUUUGUAAUUUGCGUGGUAAAUAUCCUGUAUAAGAAUGCUUUAUUUUGAGACUCUUCUUGAUGCAUCAGUAAACAUAUACAUUUCCCCCUCUAUUUUUCUCACUCUUAUUAUUGGCUAGUCUUAGAGCUGUCCCCAAACUGACCUAAGGCGUGCUAUGACUUUAAGAUACAUUACCAGGUCUAGUCCAUCUGAGGUAGUUUAAUGCUAUUGAUUUCUGCUCAGGCUUUAACCCAUGGCUGACUGUUUAUCAUGUACCCAAGUGAUCAUUUUUAACUGUAAUAUAAACACCAUGUUUUCAUCGUUGAUUGAUUGUAGUGCUUUGAUAUCUGAUAUCCUUUAUUUGAUUCCUCACCACCAUCAGUAUCUUUAGUACUCACUGACCAGAACAAGACCAAAAGAUACCACACAAUCUUUCUUUGUGCUACUUUUUACUCAUCUUUUGUUUCACCCACUACCACAAGUGAUCUCCGUUUCAAGGCUUAGUAGCUCAGCCCAUAGCUUCUCACUCGAUAAAGGUUACUUUGGUACACCUACACUGACUUCAUGUAUUCAGUAAAGAAGCCAUACUUGUGGCCUUUAGCUAAAGCUCCUUAAAUGAACCCAGGUCAGAGUAAGACUGGAGUAAAAGUGAACUGGGGUCAGCAGGGGUUCAGCACUAGAGAUCUACAACAUGGGUGUGUUAAAAGUGUUAGACUAAUAAUAUAUUGUUACUUAUCACAGGGACUGUGGAAAGGCUAGUUGAAUGCUUAAUAACUCACUAACAGUUCCAGGAAGCUAGUAAGCUACACAAUACCUUAUUGUGAAUAUGUGACUUUAUGGUGGUUUAGACCAGUAUCAAAGGGCUGUAAUCAAAGGCAUGGGAGGGUCAGUGUUGUGACAAUUCCUAAUGCUGCUAGAGGCUGAUUCACAUUUUACUGUUAAACACCAAUACAUGUAUGACAACUCUUAGAGAAGGCUCUCUCAGGAAUAGUUAAUUUGACUCUAUAUAUCAAACCACCUUACGCUUAGACCCCUGUAGUAGGUUCUGCAAGUAAUUUAAAAUCAGUUUAAUUUCUAUUAUAUAUGUAUGUAUGUACGGGCCCCCUCAAAAAUACUAUAUAGACAUAGAACAAUUUCAGAAAUAAAAUUAUGGUGUGUUAAUCUAUUCCUUUUUUGCUAAAAUCAUCCAGGUAGCCUGCCAUAUCACACCCCUCAGUACAAACAUUGAAUGGUUCAGUCCUAUCUAGCUAGGCUCACGAGUCAGGAUUGGAACAGUGGUCUGCGUAUAGAACGCCCAUCCGGCACUGUCCGUACAGAAUGUCAAACUCAAAACCAAAAUCAGGGUGCCAGAAUGGAAAGGCGGAAAAGGGCUGAAAGGAAGAACUAAGGGCGACAAUUUGUUACCCAGCUUUUCUACCAGAAAGUCAAGUGUCCAUGUCCAAAAUCUCUGGCGGCACCACUGUGUGUAGAAUAUACAGUUUGUGGAUUGAAAUAUGUGUGACUAAUGGUGCAUUUUAUAGGCUGUUGUAUGUCUGUGCUGUCAGCUUAGUAUUGAUCCACAAAGAAAUCUGAUAUUGUGCCUAAUAAUUGACACUUCCUCUCAAAAAUAAUGUUGCAAAUAUUCCAUAACAAACAGUGAAACUGUGUUUUUUUUAUUGACUUUUGAGAAAUAACUGGCAUAAAUCCAAGUCCACUAUUGAGUCCAGUACAGAAAUAUUAAAUCAGAAUACAAAUCUUUGUCACUUUAGUGAUGAAAAAGGAAACAUUUGAAUAUAAAAAUAUUUCUACACAGACAUACAAGCUACAACUGACCAGCAAUUGCAGAAAAUAAACAUAAAACAAUCAUAACAUUUAACUUAUUAAAUCAUUGUUUUAGCAUGAAGUUCUUAUCUGGGCCAUUUUGAUGAAAGCUGACUAAUCACUGGAUGACAGCUGAAAGCUUUCAGUAGCACACGGUAUGUUCAAUUCCUUUCUAAGGCACCUGGGGUAACAGCAGUUAAGGCAAACGUUAGUUACAUAAAAUG
Molecule: long non-coding RNA, 4221 nt
Organism: Siniperca chuatsi (mandarin fish)
Lineage: Eukaryota; Metazoa; Chordata; Actinopteri; Centrarchiformes; Sinipercidae
Exons: 3
Source: RefSeq, a predicted model, not a curated record